UGGGGAAUAUUGGACAAUGGGCGCAAGCCUGAUCCAGCCAUGCCGCGUGAGUGACGAAGGCCCUAGGGUUGUAAAGCUCUUUUGGCAGGGACGAUAAUGACGGUACCUGCAGAAUAAGCCCCGGCUAACUUCGUGCCAGCAGCCGCGGUAAUACGAAGGGGGCUAGCGUUGUUCGGAAUUACUGGGCGUAAAGCGCGCGUAGGCGGACUGGUCAGUUGGGGGUGAAAUCCCGGGGCUCAACCUCGGAACUGCCUUCAAUACUGCCAGUCUCGAGUCCGGAAGAGGUGAGUGGAAUUCCUAGUGUAGAGGUGAAAUUCGUAGAUAUUAGGAAGAACACCAGUGGCGAAGGCGGCUCACUGGUCCGGUACUGACGCUGAGGUGCGAAAGCGUGGGGAGCAAACAGGAUUAGAUACCCCCGUAGUCC
Molecule: ribosomal RNA, 424 nt
Filed under: uncultured prokaryote
Description: bacterial SSU rRNA
Rfam family: Bacterial small subunit ribosomal RNA
Source: RNAcentral